Physella acuta is the source of this 217-nucleotide long non-coding RNA. RefSeq lists it as uncharacterized. Lineage: Eukaryota; Metazoa; Mollusca; Gastropoda; Physidae. The record is from RefSeq and is a predicted model, not a curated record.
ACAGAACAUCUUCCUUACCAACACUGGCACUGUGCAGCUUGGGGACUUUGGUAUAGCAAAAGUUUUAAACUCGACUGCUCAGCUUGCCCACACCUGCAUUGGUACACCUUAUUAUUUAUCUCCUGAAAUUGUAGAGAACAUGCCUUAUAAUAACAAAAGUGAUAUAUGGUCUAUGGGUUGUGUGCUAUAUGAGCUAACCACACUGAAACAUGCAGUU